Labeo rohita (rohu) is the source of this 519-nucleotide non-coding RNA. The record is from the annotation of a RefSeq genome assembly. Lineage: Eukaryota; Metazoa; Chordata; Actinopteri; Cypriniformes; Cyprinidae.
UUCUGUGUAUGAAGAUCAUUUACAUAGAGAGACACUUUGCAUGAGAGUGUUUAUAGUGCUGUGAGUUUAACACUUCAUGACUGAGAGCAGAACAGAACAGAAUCUUCAUCAUCACACAAGACAAAACAACAACAAUGAACAACAUCAUCAUCCUCAUCUGGACACUCACACUGUUUGCUCAAGAGUGUAGAGGACAGUACACUGUAACUCAGAGUCCAUCAAUAACAGCAGCUCAACCAGGACAAGUAAUUGGAAUAAACUGUAAAACCAGCAGUAGAGUGCACAGCGAUAAUCAUUUAGCCUGGUACUUACAAAAACCUGGAGAAGCUCCUAAACUCCUCAUAUAUUAUGUAAAGACACUCCAGUCAGGAACUCCAUCUAGAUUCAGUGGCAGUGGAUCUGGCAGUGAUUUCACUCUGACCAUCAGUGGAGUCCAGACUGAAGAUACAGGAGAUUAUUACUGUCAGAGUUACCACAGUGGUGGUGUGUUCACACAGUGAUAAAGAGUCGUACAAAAAC